UACGGAGGGGGCAAGCGUUAAUCGGAAUUACUGGGCGUAAAGCGUGCGUAGGCGGCUUGGUAAGCCGGUUGUGAAAGCCCCGGGCUCAACCUGGGAAUGGCAUCCGGAACUGUCAGGCUAGAGUGCAGGAGAGGAAGGUAGAAUUCCCGGUGUAGCGGUGAAAUGCGUAAAGAUCGGGAGGAAUACCAGUGGCGAAGGCGGCCUUCUGGACUGACACUGACGCUGAGGUACGAAAGCGUGGGUAGCAAACAGG
RNAcentral lists this ribosomal RNA (253 nucleotides) under uncultured bacterium. RNAcentral describes it as "partial 16S ribosomal RNA". It matches the Rfam family "Bacterial small subunit ribosomal RNA", at positions 524 to 776 of the family's 1533-position model. The record is from RNAcentral.